UUGGAGGGCAAGUCUGGUGCCAGCAGCCGCGGUAAUUCCAGCUCCAAUAGCGUAUAUUAAAGUUGUUGCAGUUAAAAAGCUCGUAGUUGAAUUUCGGGGUUAGUAGGUUGGUCAUGCCUCUGGUAUGUACUGGUCUCACUGAUUCCUCCUUCCUGAUGAGCCGUAAUGCCAUUAAUUUGGUGUUGCGGGGAAUUUGGACUGUUACUUUGAAAAAAUUAGAGUGUUUAAAGCAAGCUAACGCUUGAAUACAUUAGCAUGGAAUAAUGAAAUAGGACGUUCGAUCCUAUUUUGUUGGUUUCUAGGAUUGACGUAAUGAUUAAUAGGGAUAGUUGGGGGCGUUAGUAUUCAAUUGUCAGAGGUGAAAUUCUUGGAUUGAUUGAAGACUAACUACUGCGAAAGCAUUUGCCAAGGAUGUUUUCAUUAAUCAAGAACGAAAGUUAGGGGAUCGAAGACGAUCAGAUACCGUCGUAGUCUUAACCAUAAACUAUGCCGACUAGGGAUCGGAUGAUAUUAAUUUUUUAAUGACUCAUUCGGCGCCUUACGGGAAACCAAAGUGUUUGGGUUC
This 565-nucleotide ribosomal RNA is filed under the name uncultured Glomeromycotina. Its description in RNAcentral is "SSU rRNA". It matches the Rfam family "Eukaryotic small subunit ribosomal RNA", at positions 548 to 1114 of the family's 1831-position model. Lineage: Eukaryota; Fungi; Glomeromycota. The record is from RNAcentral.